RNAcentral lists this long non-coding RNA (1085 nucleotides) under Capsicum annuum. Its description in RNAcentral is "long non-coding RNA (CANN_LNC008004)". The record is from RNAcentral. Lineage: Eukaryota; Viridiplantae; Streptophyta; Magnoliopsida; Solanales; Solanaceae.
UUUUCUCAUAUUUUUCUCACAUUAUAUAUAGAGAUUGUGCUCCAUAAAAUAAGCUAAGUAUCAUUUUACAAUUAUUGCAUGUUAUCUCUUCCACAUAUUCUAUAUUUUUAUAUUUUAUUUGUUCUUCAUUGUUCUUGCCCUUUUUUUUUGGAAAUCUUUUGUUGUAUGAUUAUGGAGGUCUGCUCUAAUGUGUAAGGUCGAAACAUCAUAAUGAUUCAGAGAAGAUGGCCAAAAUUUUGAAACAAAAAGAAUUGAAAAAAGCUUCAUCUUCAAAAUUCUCAAAAAUACAAAGAUCUGAGGGAAAAAACAGAGAAUGAAGCAAAAUUUCAAGUCCUGAUAUUGAAUACUCUUGUGAAUAUGAUUCGGAAGAAGAUAAAGUUGAAGAGGUAUUUGUAUUUGUAUAAUAUACAUACAUACAUACAUACAUACAUACAUAUAUAUAUAUAUAUAUAUAUAUAUAUAUAUAUAUAUAUAUUUGGGCAUGUGCAUUUAUUUAUAUUUUUAUAUGGCAAGGUUUGUAUUUUUUGUAUUUUUAAGAUAUGUAUUACUGUUUAAGAUAUGUGUUUUGUAUUUGUUGUUUAAUAUGGGACAGAUAUGUAUUUCGUAAAUACAUAUGCAGAUAUAUGUAUUAUGUAAAAGAAAACAUAUGCAUAAUAUGUAUUUCGCGUUAUAUUUUUUUAUAAAAAGCACAUGUAAUAUAGAUUUAUGUCAUUAUUUUAUUCUAUAGGUAUUGUACGAUCAUAUAUUCAUGGCAAGAGUACUUUCAAGGUUUGCACCACAUAUAGGAUGUCACACAGUCAAUUAUAUUGAAGAACGUAUCAAGGCGAUAUUAUCAAAGAAGCAGUACAAGAUCUUUUGUCAUAAGAAUAUUUGUGGUGUCUACAUGAAGAAGAAGAAAUGUGUAGUUCAAGCACAAUUAAAUAGAUGUAUUAUGUCACAAAUGUAUUAUAAAUUUUUUGAGGGCAUGUACAUGUAUUUGUAUUUUAUAUACACAAAUGCAUAUUCAUAUGUAUUUUUAUACGGCAUUAGAUUUGUCUUUGAACUGUUUUAUGUCAUUUUAGAGGAUAACAUAUGUACUUUUUUUU